ACGGAAAGGAAGAGAAUCCCGAGAAGAAGGAGAGCCUUCAUGUUGACUGGGAACCCAGACCUCCGGGCUGACCAGGGAGAGCAGUCCUCGAGCCCCAGCUGAAACCCUAAAAGAGUAGAAGGACAAAGAAUUUCCUCCUCCUGUCAUUUCUAGUGAUGAGGAUGGGAGAGUAGAAGGCUGGAAAACGCUUCUCUCCACAAAGACUGCAGUUGACUUGUGGGGUAACUGACAGCAGACCAGCAGAAGGAUGAAUGGUUAAACAAGUUGUGGCAUGUCUUACCCUAUGGAACACUACUCAGUAAUAAAAAAGGAGCAAAUUAUUGAUACACACAACAUAAGCUUGAAGGAACUUCAAGGAAAUUAUGCUGAAUGAAAAGAGUCCAUCUAAAAAGGAUACAUACUGGAUGAUCUCACUUAUUGAAGGAGGAAAUCAACCACAACACUGUAAGGAUGCUCAAAAAGGUCUAUGGAGAGGUCUGUGUAGUGAAAAACUGUGAAGUCUUUUGCCAAAGCCCACUUGGAAGUAAAUCCUUCGGCCCCCAUCAAGCCUUCAGAUGACUCCAGCCUCAGCUGACAUCCUGACCACAACCUCACAAGAGAUAUUGCUCCAGAAGAACCCAGCUAAGCUGCCUUGAAGGUCCUCACCCA
This is a long non-coding RNA of Lontra canadensis (Northern American river otter), 648 nucleotides long. RefSeq lists it as uncharacterized. The transcript has 4 exons. The record is from RefSeq and is a predicted model, not a curated record. Lineage: Eukaryota; Metazoa; Chordata; Mammalia; Carnivora; Mustelidae.